UGCUGUAGAAGUCCGGACGAAAACUUUCUGUUGGAGAAAUUCGGCUGGAGUCUGAUUGCUAGAGAAGUCCAUCUGAAAUUUAUCUGAUGUAGAAGCUUGUCUGAAGACUGUCCGCUGGAGAGGUCCGAUUGCAUGAGGAAUCCGAUAAAAGGUCGAUCGAUAGCAAAAUUCAAAAAGCAUUGUGGAAGAUCAUCCUCUGGAGGAGCCUGGAGGACACUGUGGAAGGUCGACCGCUGGAGGGGUCUGGAGGGAAUUUAUCCAUUGGAGGGGUCUGGUUGGCACUGUUGAAGUCCGGUUGGCACUGUUGAAGGUUGAUGGCUGGA
Molecule: long non-coding RNA, 323 nt
Filed under: Elaeis guineensis (African oil palm)
Lineage: Eukaryota; Viridiplantae; Streptophyta; Magnoliopsida; Arecales; Arecaceae
Description: long non-coding RNA (EGUI_LNC071722)
Source: RNAcentral